UCCUUGUUUGGGUUGUAAUGA
Molecule: microRNA, 21 nt
Filed under: Gallus gallus (chicken)
Lineage: Eukaryota; Metazoa; Chordata; Aves; Galliformes; Phasianidae
Description: gga-miR-3531-5p
Source: miRBase by way of RNAcentral